AGUGUCAGCUUGCUGGUUUGCAGUCUUCAAAUGUUUGCAAGUUUCACCCCGAUAAAACAAACAAUGUCAGCGAAAUGUUCUGCACCCAAAACGUUGGACUUCUGGACUGCAGCAGGAUGAGUACUGCAGCAAUAUGUUUUAAUAUGAAUAUAACAAUGCUAAUUUGGGGCCCCCUCCAGUUUUCUGUAUGCAGCCUGCAGUUUGGACACCCUUGUAUUUGGUCCCAAUUGCUGAUAAUAUGUGGGAGGGAACAAACAGAAACACUGACGCUCAGAGCUUUGAACGCCUUCGCCAGCUGAUGCUGCAACUAACACUCACUUUGAUGGACCUGAAAAUGCUGUCCUGUGCUUUGAAGCCACUGGAGGAACUCAGGGGUGUGAGCCGUUUGAAUGGACCAGGUUGGUACAGUCGAUUGGGUGUUACCUUCCAGCUAAUGGCAAAACCUUUACCCUGCCGCAUUCGAACUUCCUGCUAGCUGACAUUUUCCUUGGAUUUUGGGUCAACAUUUGCAAUAAAAGCCACUGUUGUAAUUAUUAGAUUAGAUUAAGCGAUUGAAUCCUCCCCUUUUUUCUUCAAUUGCCAUUGUCCACUCCUGAUUGAAUGCUGGUUUAGGCCCUAAAUAUGCCUCACAAACCUAUUUAGCACAUUGUAUAAUAUGUGUAGAUAUUUACCUGUAACAUGGCAAAAAAAAACUCCGGCUCAAGCAGUGUCACAGUCCCAGAGGGACCCUUAAUGACGUCACGUGUCAUCUUACUAAGAAAACACUAAAUUCACCGCACAGCAACUGAACACACCAAAGGUACACCCUAGAAAUAUACAAACAUGUAUGAAAUAUAGAAAAAAAGAAAUAGAAAAUUGUGGAUUUUAUGCAAUGCGGCCCCUGUCCACCAGAGGAAGCCAAAGUCCCGAGGGAGGCUGAUGUCAUGACAGCGCCCCAAUGAAUGUGUCCCUCAGACGCAAUGCCUGAUGGGAAAACUUUCAAAUCUUGAUGAGUGACUUUAUCUCAGUAAUGUAACGAUCACAACCAUGGAAUUUCUUUUUCACUGACAACAAUUUAGAAUACAUAGAACAGAAUACCCUUGUAAAGAUUUGUGCAGGUUUGGAGAACGUGUCAUAUAAGUUUCAUGUUGUCGGUAUGUUCUGUACGAAUGUCGAAUGACGAGCAAAAUCUUGUGUGACGGAAAAACUGUCAAAACGCUGUACACUGUACAGCAGGGGUCUCAAACUCAAUUUACCUGGGGGCCACUGGAGCUAGGGUCUGGGCAAGGCUGGGCCGCAUCAGGUUUUCAAAAAAAAAGAAACAUUUAUUAAAAACAGAAAAAUAUACAAACUUUUUCAGUGCUUUGGUUCCGAUUUUCUACAAUAAAGCUGUGAUAAAACAUUCCACUGUUCUCAAA
This is a long non-coding RNA of Doryrhamphus excisus (bluestripe pipefish), 1397 nucleotides long. RefSeq lists it as uncharacterized. Lineage: Eukaryota; Metazoa; Chordata; Actinopteri; Syngnathiformes; Syngnathidae. The record is from RefSeq and is a predicted model, not a curated record.